Wyeomyia smithii (pitcher-plant mosquito) is the source of this 1422-nucleotide long non-coding RNA. RefSeq lists it as uncharacterized. NCBI's taxonomy places the organism in Eukaryota, Metazoa, Arthropoda, Insecta, Diptera, Culicidae. The transcript is spliced from 3 exons. The record is from RefSeq and is a predicted model, not a curated record.
UGAGUGAGGACCAGUAGCAACCGGCGCCGUUUGUUAUGUGCAGGGAAAUUGAAACAAAUACCGCGCAUGAGACAAUGCACCCGUUAAGGAUCGAUUAGUAUGUUGAUGACGCCUGUCAGCGUGUAACUAGCUGCCAAAUGGGGGUAACAUCGCCGUGGAAACUGGUUCACUUGGCCGAUUCGUUUCGAUUGUAUUUUGCUAACUAGUUUCGUGCUGUAUAAAAUUUUGGAGUAAUAGCGGACAAGCAAUUGUUACGUAGCUUACCAACAUCAAAUGCCCUCGGCAAUCCUGCAUCAAACUAUCUGCCCAAGAUGCUGCAGGGGCCCACAGAAAUCGAGUGUUGAUUCAAUUUAGGCUGCUGCCAUUUAGCUUCGCAAACAACAUGCCACAUGUUUCCGGCUAAAUUAAAUAGCAAACCAAAAAUAAUAAACAACGCAAAAACAUGGGUUUCAGGUACGCGUCUCUUAGACACUUUAGUGCAGGUUUACGCGGCCAAUCAUCACUGUUUGUUAGCUUAAGGGGUUUCUAGACGUUUUUAUUUUCCUCGAGGUGUUGACUGAGGUUUCUGGCGGUAUUUCGCACGAGGGAUAUCUGCAAAAGGCUCCCCAAUACGCUAGCGUUGAUGAUUGAAAGGCAAAACUGUCCAGACUGAGAGCCAAGCUGCGCUGUUGAGUAACCGAUUCUGGUUGGUGGAUGAGAAAUGACUGUUGAACCUCGAUUGGGAUGGAUGAACAUUGCGAUUGCAUUAGCGCAAUGUGCGCGGUUACAAAUAAGGAAUAGAUAUAUACAUAUAUGGAUUGAUACAAAAGGAUAGCUUUAAAUUAUCAACAAAAUUACGAACAUAUCAUAAUCAUGAGUAUUUGAAAACUUUAAUGACAUAUCGUUUUAAUAGAUCGCAUUUUUUGAUACAUGUUAUGAUGUUUUCACCCAAACAACAAUAAGCAAAGAAAAUUUUUGCAAUUUACAAUAUAAUUUGUCACUAUUAUUUUUUAUAUUUAAAAGCUAUUAAUGAACAAUUGAUUUCAUAAACAAAUGUUUUUUUUCGUAUUUAGAAUUCAACAAUAAAUCAUAACAUAACUAUCAUAAAAUAAUCAUUUCUGCGACGUGUAGAUUCGAGUCACUAAAACGUCUGCAGAGAAAGGAUGAAAUUCAUAUUAAAUUCAAAGGAUUUAUCAGAAGAAGAGAAAGUUCAAUGGUAUUUUUCAGUUGCACCGUUAUGUUUUGCCUAAAUAAAAGAAAUCCAAAUGUAACAUAGUGAAACAGAAAUUACACCAUACCCACAGUUACCUUACUAAAGCGUUUUUUCUCAUCGUUCCUAAACACUAUUUUAUCUUCUGGAUGGUUAUGUCUGGAAGUACAAGCUAUUCGCUGAAAAUUCUUCGAAACUCUCACGCUAGCCUUGCAGCCAUAACGUUGGCAAAU